Molecule: transfer RNA, 80 nt
Filed under: Laetiporus sulphureus 93-53
Lineage: Eukaryota; Fungi; Basidiomycota; Agaricomycetes; Polyporales; Laetiporaceae
Description: tRNA-Thr
Rfam family: tRNA
About the family: Transfer RNA (tRNA) molecules are approximately 80 nucleotides in length.
Source: RNAcentral
UCCCGUUUAGCUCAGUUGGUAGAGCGCGUCACUAGUAUAACGCCAUGACGAGGUCAGUCGUUCGAGUCGGCUAAUGGGAA